GUUUGAUUGGCAGAGAUAUGUGAUUGGUUUAGGACCAAUUUAUGAGAUAAAUAAUUCUUAUCAAAUA
Molecule: transfer RNA, 67 nt
Filed under: Owenia fusiformis
Lineage: Eukaryota; Metazoa; Annelida; Polychaeta; Sabellida; Oweniidae
Description: tRNA-Leu
Source: RNAcentral